Molecule: ribosomal RNA, 1552 nt
Filed under: Staphylococcus aureus
Lineage: Bacteria; Bacillati; Bacillota; Bacilli; Caryophanales; Staphylococcaceae
Description: 16S ribosomal RNA
Rfam family: Bacterial small subunit ribosomal RNA
Source: RNAcentral
UUUAUGGAGAGUUUGAUCCUGGCUCAGGAUGAACGCUGGCGGCGUGCCUAAUACAUGCAAGUCGAGCGAACGGACGAGAAGCUUGCUUCUCUGAUGUUAGCGGCGGACGGGUGAGUAACACGUGGAUAACCUACCUAUAAGACUGGGAUAACUUCGGGAAACCGGAGCUAAUACCGGAUAAUAUUUUGAACCGCAUGGUUCAAAAGUGAAAGACGGUCUUGCUGUCACUUAUAGAUGGAUCCGCGCUGCAUUAGCUAGUUGGUAAGGUAACGGCUUACCAAGGCAACGAUGCAUAGCCGACCUGAGAGGGUGAUCGGCCACACUGGAACUGAGACACGGUCCAGACUCCUACGGGAGGCAGCAGUAGGGAAUCUUCCGCAAUGGGCGAAAGCCUGACGGAGCAACGCCGCGUGAGUGAUGAAGGUCUUCGGAUCGUAAAACUCUGUUAUUAGGGAAGAACAUAUGUGUAAGUAACUGUGCACAUCUUGACGGUACCUAAUCAGAAAGCCACGGCUAACUACGUGCCAGCAGCCGCGGUAAUACGUAGGUGGCAAGCGUUAUCCGGAAUUAUUGGGCGUAAAGCGCGCGUAGGCGGUUUUUUAAGUCUGAUGUGAAAGCCCACGGCUCAACCGUGGAGGGUCAUUGGAAACUGGAAAACUUGAGUGCAGAAGAGGAAAGUGGAAUUCCAUGUGUAGCGGUGAAAUGCGCAGAGAUAUGGAGGAACACCAGUGGCGAAGGCGACUUUCUGGUCUGUAACUGACGCUGAUGUGCGAAAGCGUGGGGAUCAAACAGGAUUAGAUACCCUGGUAGUCCACGCCGUAAACGAUGAGUGCUAAGUGUUAGGGGGUUUCCGCCCCUUAGUGCUGCAGCUAACGCAUUAAGCACUCCGCCUGGGGAGUACGACCGCAAGGUUGAAACUCAAAGGAAUUGACGGGGACCCGCACAAGCGGUGGAGCAUGUGGUUUAAUUCGAAGCAACGCGAAGAACCUUACCAAAUCUUGACAUCAUUUGACAACUCUAGAGAUAGAGCCUUCCCCUUCGGGGGACAAAGUGACAGGUGGUGCAUGGUUGUCGUCAGCUCGUGUCGUGAGAUGUUGGGUUAAGUCCCGCAACGAGCGCAACCCUUAAGCUUAGUUGCCAUCAUUAAGUUGGGCACUCUAAGUUGACUGCCGGUGACAAACCGGAGGAAGGUGGGGAUGACGUCAAAUCAUCAUGCCCCUUAUGAUUUGGGCUACACACGUGCUACAAUGGACAAUACAAAGGGCAGCAAAACCGCGAGGUCAAGCAAAUCCCAUAAAGUUGUUCUCAGUUCGGAUUGUAGUCUGCAACUCGACUACAUGAAGCUGGAAUCGCUAGUAAUCGUAGAUCAGCAUGCUACGGUGAAUACGUUCCCGGGUCUUGUACACACCGCCCGUCACACCACGAGAGUUUGUAACACCCGAAGCCGGUGGAGUAACCUUUUAGGAGCUAGCCGUCGAAGGUGGGACAAAUGAUUGGGGUGAAGUCGUAACAAGGUAGCCGUAUCGGAAGGUGCGGCUGGAUCACCUCCUUU